This 225-nucleotide ribosomal RNA is filed under the name uncultured Planctomycetales bacterium. Its description in RNAcentral is "partial 16S ribosomal RNA". It matches the Rfam family "Bacterial small subunit ribosomal RNA", at positions 446 to 667 of the family's 1533-position model. The record is from RNAcentral. Lineage: Bacteria; Pseudomonadati; Planctomycetota; Planctomycetia; Planctomycetales.
UGUAGACUCGCUAAUAUCGGGUCUAUACGACAAAGGCUCCAAAGGAAGCCACGGCUAACUCUGUGCCAGCAGCCGCGGUAAUACAGAGGUGGCAAGCGUUGUUCGGAAUAAUUGGGCGUAAAGAGCACGUAGGUGGAUUUGUAAGUCAGACGUGAAAGCCUUCUGUUCAACGGAAGAAUAGCAUCUGAAACUACAAACCUUGAGUGUAGGAGGGGAGAGUGGAAC